CCGCCGCCGCUCUAGUGGCCGCCGCACAGUCGGAGAAGACGGCGUCCCUGGCCGAUCAGAUCGGCACCGCCGCCGCCCGUCUGACCACCCGCUCCCGGGAGGCCCGCGGAGAUGAGGCCGCCGUGGCCGCCGCCGCGACGGCGCUACGACAGCGGCUGAACCGGACCACCCGAUGGCAGCAGCGCGUCCGCUCGGAGGUAUCCACCACACGCGACCUGCUGGGGCAGGUCACACAGGCUUUGGGAGAGCUGGGCCGGUCUCACUCGUCGACCGACGCUCGUCUCGAGCCGACCUCAGACGCCCUGACCGAGCUGAGCGCGCAGCUGGCUGCCCUGCAGACUGACCAGCCGCAGCAGACCGCGCUCGACCGGCUGCAGCGGCAGCUGGACGCGGCCGAGGCGCAGCUGCGCCAGCUGCA
Molecule: long non-coding RNA, 418 nt
Organism: Pollicipes pollicipes
Lineage: Eukaryota; Metazoa; Arthropoda; Thecostraca; Pollicipedomorpha; Pollicipedidae
Exons: 3
Source: RefSeq, a predicted model, not a curated record